This 496-nucleotide ribosomal RNA is filed under the name uncultured bacterium. RNAcentral describes it as "partial 16S ribosomal RNA". It matches the Rfam family "Bacterial small subunit ribosomal RNA", at positions 29 to 507 of the family's 1533-position model. The record is from RNAcentral.
AUGCACGCUGGCGGCGUGCCUCAUCCCUGCCAGUCGAGCGAACAGACGAGGAGCUUGCUCCUUUGACGUUAGCGGCGGCCGGGUGAGUAACACGUGGAUAACCUACCUAUAAGACUGGGAUAACUUCGGGAAACCGGAGCUAAUACCGGAUAACAUGUUGAACCGCAUGGUUCAACAGUGAAAGACGGUCUUGCUGUCACUUAUAGAUGGAUCCGCGCCGCAUUAGCUAGUUGGUAAGGUAACGGCUUACCAAGGCAACGAUGCGUAGCCGACCUGAGAGGGUGAUCGGCCACACUGGAACUGAGACACGGUCCAGACUCCUACGGGAGGCAGCAGUAGGGAAUCUUCCGCAAUGGGCGAAAGCCUGGCGGAGCAACGCCGCGUGAGUGAAGAAGGUCUUCGGAUCGUAAAACUCUGUUAUUAGGGAAGAACAAAUGUGUAAGUAACUAUGCACGUCUUGACGGUACCUAAUCAGAAAGCCACGGCUAACUACGUG